Molecule: ribosomal RNA, 429 nt
Filed under: Chloroflexota bacterium
Lineage: Bacteria; Bacillati; Chloroflexota
Description: Chloroflexi bacterium partial 16S ribosomal RNA
Rfam family: Bacterial small subunit ribosomal RNA
Source: RNAcentral
UAGGGAAUCUUCGGCAAUGGACGAAAGUCUGACCGAGCAACGCCGCGUGAGUGAAGAAGGUUUUUGGAUCGUAAAACUCUGUUGUUAGAGAAGAACAAGGACGUUAGUAACUGAACGUCCCCUGACGGUAUCUAACCAGAAAGCCACGGCUAACUACGUGCCAGCAGCCGCGGUAAUACGUAGGUGGCAAGCGUUGUCCGGAUUUAUUGGGCGUAAAGCGAGCGCAGGCGGUUUCUUAAGUCUGAUGUGAAAGCCCCCGGCUCAACCGGGGAGGGUCAUUGGAAACUGGGAGACUUGAGUGCAGAAGAGGAGAGUGGAAUUCCAUGUGUAGCGGUGAAAUGCGUAGAUAUAUGGAGGAACACCAGUGGCGAAGGCGGCUCUCUGGUCUGUAACAGACGCUGAGGCUCGAAAGCGUGGGGAGCAAACAGG